GAACGCGAAGAACCUUACCAGGUCUUGACAUUGAUGGACAGAACUAGAGAUAGUUCCUCUUCUUCGGAAGCCAGAAAACAGGUGGUGCACGGUUGUCGUCAGCUCGUGUCGUGAGAUGUUGGGUUAAGUCCCGCAACGAGCGCAACCCCUAUCUUAUGUUGCCAGCACGUAAUGGUGGGAACUCAUGAGAGACUGCCGCAGACAAUGCGGAGGAAGGCGGGGAUGACGUCAAAUCAUCAUGCCCCUUAUGACCUGGGCUACACACGUACUACAAUGGGAGUUAAUAGACGGAAGCGAGAUCGCGAGAUGGAGCAAACCCGAGAAACACUCUCUCAGUUCGGAUCGUAGGCUGCAACUCGCCUACGUGAAGUCGGAAUCGCUAGUAAUCGCAGGUCAGCAUACUGCGGUGAAUACGUUCCCGGGUCUUGUACACACC
This 436-nucleotide ribosomal RNA is filed under the name uncultured bacterium. RNAcentral describes it as "bacterial SSU rRNA". It matches the Rfam family "Bacterial small subunit ribosomal RNA", at positions 957 to 1391 of the family's 1533-position model. The record is from RNAcentral.